This 846-nucleotide ribosomal RNA is filed under the name uncultured eukaryote. Its description in RNAcentral is "SSU rRNA". It matches the Rfam family "Eukaryotic small subunit ribosomal RNA", at positions 584 to 1457 of the family's 1831-position model. The record is from RNAcentral.
UCCAGCUCCAAUAGCGUAUAUUAAAGUUGUUGCAGUUAAAAAGCUCGUAGUCGGAUUUCGGGUCGGGCCGAGCGGUCUGCCGAUGGGUAUGCACUGUUUGGCGCGGCCUUCUUUCCGGAGACCGCGGCUACCCUUAACUGAGCGGGCGUGGGAGACGGAUCGUUUACUUUGAAAAAAUCAGAGUGUUUCUAGCAGGCAGCUCGCUCUUGCAUAGGUUAGCAUGGGAUAAUUUAAUAGGACUCUGGUGCUAUUUUGUUGGUUUCGAACACCGGAGUAAUGAUUAAAAGGGGCAGUCAGGGGCACUCGUAUUCCGUCGAGAGAGGUGAAAUUCUCAGACCAAUGGAAGACGAACCACUGCGAAAGCAUUUGCCAGGGAUGUUUUCACUGAUCAAGAACGAAAGUUAGGGGAUCGAAGACGAUCAGAUACCGUCGUAGUCUUAACCAUAAACCAUGCCGACUAGGGAUUGGAGGGUGUUCGUUUCGACCUCUUCAGCACCUUACGGGAAACUAAAGUCUUUGGGUUCCGGGGGGAGUAUGGUCGCAAGGCUGAAACUUAAAGGAAUUGACGGAAGGGCACCACCAGGAGUGGAGCCUGCGGCUUAAUUUGACUCAACACGGGGAAACUUACCAGGUCCAGACAUUGUUAGGAUUGACAGAUUGAGAGCUCUUUCUUGAUUCGAUGGGUGGUGGUGCAUGGCCGUUCUUAGUUGGUGGAGUGAUUUGUCUGGUUAAUUCCGUUAACGAACGAGACCGUAGCCUGCUAAAUAGUUCCGCGAACUUCUUGUUGGCGGUCGACUUCUUAGAGGGACAACUUGUGACCAACAAGUGGAAGUUUGCGGCAAUAAC